AGAUUGAACGCUGGCGGCAUGCCUAACACAUGCAAGUCGAACGGGAGUAGCAAUACUCUAGUGGCGGACGGGUGAGGAAUACGUAGGAAUUUGCCCUUAAGUGGGGGAUAACCCGGGGAAACCCGGAUUAAUACCGCAUGACCUCGAAAGAGCAAAGUGGGGGAUCGCAAGACCUCACGCUUUUGGAGAAGCCUACGUCGGAUUAGCUAGUUGGUGAGGUAAUGGCUCACCAAGGCACGAUCCGUAACUGGUCUGAGAGGAUGAUCAGUCACACCGG
This 277-nucleotide ribosomal RNA is filed under the name uncultured soil bacterium. RNAcentral describes it as "partial 16S ribosomal RNA". It matches the Rfam family "Bacterial small subunit ribosomal RNA", at positions 26 to 316 of the family's 1533-position model. The record is from RNAcentral.